This 439-nucleotide ribosomal RNA is filed under the name uncultured bacterium. RNAcentral describes it as "partial 16S ribosomal RNA". It matches the Rfam family "Bacterial small subunit ribosomal RNA", at positions 339 to 795 of the family's 1533-position model. The record is from RNAcentral.
CUACGGGGUGCUGCAGUGAGGAAUAUUGCACAAUGGGGGGAACCCUGAUGCAGCAACGCCGCGCGGAGGAUGACGCAUUUCGGUGUGUAAACUCCUUUUAUAUGUCAAGAAAAUGACGGUAGCAUAUGAAUAAGCACCGGCUAACUCCGUGCCAGCAGCCGCGGUAAUACGGAGGGUGCAAGCGUUACUCGGAAUCACUGGGCGUAAAGGACGCGUAGGCGGGUUGGAAAGUCAGGUGUGAAAUCCUACAGCUUAACUGUAGAACUGCACUUGAAACUUCUAAUCUAGAGUAUGGGAGGGGGAGAUGGAAUUAGCGGUGUAGGGGUAAAAUCCGUAGAUAUCACUAGGAAUACCUAAAGCGAAGGCGAUCUCCUGGAACAUUACUGACGCUAAGGCGUGAAAGCGUGGGGAGCAAACAGGAUUAGAUACCCCCGUAGUC